GUGUCAGCCGCCGCGGUAAUACGUAGGGGGCAAGCGUUGUCCGGAUUUAUUGGGCGUAAAGGGUGCGUAGGCGGCCUUUUAAGUCAGAUGUGAAAGAUCACGGCUCAACCGUGGUAAGCAUUUGAAACUGAAAGGCUUGAGUUAAGGAGAGGAAAGUGGAAUUCCUAGUGUAGCGGUGAAAUGCGUAGAUAUUAGGAGGAAUACCAGUGGCGAAGGCGACUUUCUGGACUUAUACUGACGCUGAGGCACGAAAGCGUGGGGAGCGAACAGGAUUAGAUACCCUGGUAGUCCACGCCGUAAACGAUGAGUGCUAGGUGUUGGGGGUCAAACCUCGGUGCCGCAGCUAACGCAUUAAGCACUCCGCCUGGGGAGUACGUACGCAAGUAUGAAACUCAAAGAAAUUGACGG
This 408-nucleotide ribosomal RNA is filed under the name uncultured bacterium. Its description in RNAcentral is "bacterial SSU rRNA". It matches the Rfam family "Bacterial small subunit ribosomal RNA", at positions 505 to 916 of the family's 1533-position model. The record is from RNAcentral.